UACGUAGGGGGCGAGCGUUGUCCGGAUUUAUUGGGCGUAAAGAGCUCGUAGGCGGUUCGAUAAGUCGGGUGUGAAACCUCCAGGCUCAAUCUGGAGACGCCACCCGAUACUGUCGUGACUAGAGUCCAGUAGGGGAGCGUGGAAUUCCUGGUGUAGCGGUGAAAUGCGCAGAUAUCAGGAGGAACACCGGUGGCGAAGGCGGGUCUCUGGGCCGAUACUGACGCUGAGGAGCGAAAGCGUGGGGAGCGAACAGG
Molecule: ribosomal RNA, 254 nt
Filed under: uncultured bacterium
Lineage: Bacteria
Description: partial 16S ribosomal RNA
Rfam family: Bacterial small subunit ribosomal RNA
Source: RNAcentral